AUCCACAGGUCGUUUCCACUUGCAAAAGUGGAUCAUUCUAAAGAUUAGACAUGUCAGUAGAACUUGUGCCUGCCCACAAGAAGAACAAGUUAUGAAAACUUGAACAAAAAUAAAUCAACAGUUAGUAAACAGCAAAUCAAACACGAUACACAUGAAUGAUGGUGCCUUUUCCCCUACUGCAUUUUCAAUUGCCGUUCAAUUCUAGCUCAACCACAUAAUUUAAAUAAUAUACCAAUACCGAACAAUAACAGCUUCUGUUUCAAUAACAAGGAAACCAUAAUCCAGUAAAGGAGAAGAAUUUUUGAAGCUUAAUCCAAAAUUUUAUAAUGUGAUUCCAAAAGACAAAUGAAAUUGACUUGAUUUGGCUUUUUUUCCUCUUGCAACAUUUUUCUGGGCAACCAAACGAUAAUUAACAAAAAUAAGAAAAAUGCAAUAGAAAUGUGAGUGGAGAUCUGAGGAGAAAAAGAAACCUGAACAUUGAGAGAUGUGGCAGAGCAGUUUUGGUAAGAUUUCCUUUCCUCUGAAGAAAAACGAGGAAAAUUCUUCUCCUUUUUUCCCUUGAGCAAAUGGGUGAAACAAACGAGUAAUUAUGCGUAAAAUAUUGGGUACAAGAUGAAAUUUUCAUUUAGAAAUGUAGGGAUUGUGAAAGACCAGUUUCUUGGUUGAGAUGAAGAGCGAUGAGCCAAGUUUCUCAAUUGAGAUCAUCAAGAAUAGUGAAUUUUCGUAGCAGAGGGAUGGUGCAUAUAGAGAGAGAGAGAGAGAGA
RNAcentral lists this unclassified non-coding RNA (764 nucleotides) under Hevea brasiliensis (rubber tree). The record is from RNAcentral. Lineage: Eukaryota; Viridiplantae; Streptophyta; Magnoliopsida; Malpighiales; Euphorbiaceae.